This 342-nucleotide long non-coding RNA is filed under the name Homo sapiens (human). Its description in RNAcentral is "HSALNT0118528". The record is from RNAcentral. Lineage: Eukaryota; Metazoa; Chordata; Mammalia; Primates; Hominidae.
AUUUCAAUAUUUUUUCUCCUAUAUCUUCGUCAUGAGAUUUCCUGACUCCUCUUUUUUGGCUCUGGGUCUGUGGUGGGAAAGCUGUCCUCCUCUAUGUACUGAAUUUAUGUGAUUAUUGUCCAGUCUAAUCUGGCAUGCACUUUGCUCAAUUCAUUUCCAAUAAUAGCAGGUUAUUUAGGUUUAAGUGAUGAAUUCUGAACAUGCCUGUGUGUCUUUGCUUCACCAAAACACAGAACCAUACCUACGUGUGCUGGACAGUGUUAAAGGUUCUGAUGUUAAAGGAUUGAUGGCACCAUAGUUGCCUUGGAGGAGUUGUAUGUCUAAUGGAAGAGGCAGAUCCAG